GUUAUAUGGUCAAGUGAAGAAGCGCAUACGGUGGAUGCCUUGGCAGUCAGAGGCGAUGAAAGACGUGGUAGCCUGCGAUAAGCUUUGGGGAGUCGGCAAACAGACUGUGAUCCAGAGAUCUCUGAAUGGGGGAACCCACUCAGCAUAAGCUGAGUAUCUUGUACUGAAUACAUAGGUGCAAGAGGCGAACCAGGGGAACUGAAACAUCUAAGUACCCUGAGGAAAAGAAAUCAACCGAGAUUCCCUUAGUAGUGGCGAGCGAACGGGGACCAGCCCUUAAGUUGAUUUGAGAUUAGUGGAACGCUCUGGAAAGUGCGGCCAUAGUGGGUGAUAGCCCCGUACACGAAAAUCUCUUGUCAAUGAAAUCGAGUAGGACGGAGCACGAGAAACUUUGUCUGAAUAUGGGGGGACC
RNAcentral lists this ribosomal RNA (412 nucleotides) under Pseudomonas monteilii. Its description in RNAcentral is "partial 23S ribosomal RNA". It matches the Rfam family "Bacterial large subunit ribosomal RNA", at positions 1 to 454 of the family's 2925-position model. The record is from RNAcentral. Lineage: Bacteria; Pseudomonadati; Pseudomonadota; Gammaproteobacteria; Pseudomonadales; Pseudomonadaceae.